This 656-nucleotide ribosomal RNA is filed under the name uncultured bacterium. RNAcentral's name for it is "bacterial SSU rRNA". The stretch from base 1 to 537 matches the Rfam family "Bacterial small subunit ribosomal RNA", at positions 338 to 873 of the family's 1533-position model. The record is from RNAcentral.
CCUACGGGAGGCAGCAGUAAGGAAUAUUGGUCAAUGGACGCAAGUCUGAACCAGCCAUGCCGCGUGAAGGAUUAAGGUCCUCUGGAUUGUAAACUUCUUUUAUCUGGGACGAAAAAAGGCGAUUCUUCGUCACUUGACGGUACCAGAUGAAUAAGCACCGGCUAACUCCGUGCCAGCAGCCGCGGUAAUACGGAGGGUGCAAGCGUUAUCCGGAUUCACUGGGUUUAAAGGGUGCGUAGGCGGGCAGGUAAGUCAGUGGUGAAAUCCUAGAGCUUAACUCUAGAACUGCCAUUGAUACUAUCUGUCUUGAAUAUUGUGGAGGUAAGCGGAAUAUGUCAUGUAGCGGUGAAAUGCUUAGAUAUGACAUAGAACACCUAUUGCGAAGGCAGCUUACUACGCAUAUAUUGACGCUGAGGCACGAAAGCGUGGGGAUCAAACAGGAUUAGAUACCCUGGUAGUCCACGCCCUAAACGAUANAUACUCACAUUGUGUAUACACUAUAAGUAGUGUGAGAGAAGACGAUUAAGUUAAAGUACCUACCGUUACGGGAAGGUAACGAACCGACCGAAGGUUAGGUUAAACGUUACGAAAGUUAGAAGUUAGACGGACGUUGAGACGUUAGCCGAACGGACGACCGACGAAGGGGAAGGUAGGAG